Molecule: unclassified non-coding RNA, 231 nt
Filed under: uncultured Ceratobasidiaceae
Lineage: Eukaryota; Fungi; Basidiomycota; Agaricomycetes; Cantharellales; Ceratobasidiaceae
Description: sequence contains ITS2
Source: RNAcentral
AAUUCUUCAAAAUCAAAUCUUUUGUUAACUCAAUUGGUUUGACUUUGGUAUUGGAGGUUUUUGCAGCUUCACACCUGCUCCUCUUUGUGCAUUAGCUGGAUCUCAGUGUUAUGCUUGGUUCCACUCAGCGUGAUAAGUUAUCUAUCGCUGAGGACACUGUAAAAAGGUGGCCAAGGUAAAUGCAGAUGAACCGCUUCUAAUAGUCCAUUGACUUGGACAAUAUUUUUUAUG